Molecule: ribosomal RNA, 555 nt
Filed under: uncultured bacterium
Lineage: Bacteria
Description: bacterial SSU rRNA
Rfam family: Bacterial small subunit ribosomal RNA
Source: RNAcentral
UGUGAUGAGCGAGCCUGACGCAGCGACGCCGCGUGGAGGAUGAAGGUCUUCGGAUUGUAAACUCCUGUCAGAGGGGAAGAAUGCCUGAUUUAUCAUGUUUGACGGUAUCCUCAGAGGAAGCCCCGGCUAACUACGUGCCAUCAGCCGCGGUAAUACCUAUGGGGCAAACGUUGCUCGGAAUUACUGGACGUAAAGGGUGUGUAGGGGGCUGAGGAGGUCAGGGAUGAAAUCCCUAAGCUCCCCCUCCUAAUUGUGCUUGAUGCUGCUCAGCUUGAGGAUAUUUAAUGAGAACGAAGUUCCCGGAGUUCCGGGGAAAUGCGUAAAUUUCGGAAAGAACACCAGAAGCAAAGGCGGUUUUCUAAACUAUUCGUGACGCUGAUACCCCAAAGCUAGGGGAGCAAACGGAAUUAAAUACCCCGGAAGUCCUAGCCGUAAACGAUGGGCACUAUAUGUUUCUGCUUUAAGCGGGAGUGUCAAAGUUAACGCGUUAAGUGCCCCGCCUGGGGAGUACGGGCGCAAGGCUGAAACUCAAAUGAAUUGACGGGAAUUGGGCGG